RNAcentral lists this ribosomal RNA (253 nucleotides) under uncultured bacterium. Its description in RNAcentral is "partial 16S ribosomal RNA". It matches the Rfam family "Bacterial small subunit ribosomal RNA", at positions 524 to 776 of the family's 1533-position model. The record is from RNAcentral.
UACAGAGAGUGCAAACGUUGUUCGGAAUUACUGGGCUUAAAGCGCGCGUAGGCUGCAUCGUAAGUGUCUGGUGAAAUCCCACGGCUCACCCGUGGAACUGCCAGGCAUACUGCGGUGCUAGAGUGUGGUAGGGGAGAGCGGAACUCCUGGUGGAGCGGUGAAAUGCGUAGAUAUCAGGAGGAACACCGGUGGCGAAGGCGGCUCUCUGGUCCAUAACUGACGCUGAGGUGCGAAAGCUAGGGGAGCAAACGGG